This is a long non-coding RNA of Megalobrama amblycephala (Wuchang bream), 2574 nucleotides long. RefSeq lists it as uncharacterized. Lineage: Eukaryota; Metazoa; Chordata; Actinopteri; Cypriniformes; Xenocyprididae. The record is from RefSeq and is a predicted model, not a curated record. The transcript is spliced from 2 exons.
GCCUGUGGAGGAAAAAAUUAAAAUAAGAAUCUGCUUAGUGUCAAUAGGGGUUGAAGAAAAAAAAAGGGAAAAUAAAAGUGCUGGAUAUGACUACAAGCAGUUUAAAAUGAAAAAAAAGGAGCGAUAUUGCCUACGCCUGAUCUACAAUCCUGAUCAUGGAGGCCCACUGUCCAGCAGAGCUCAGCUCCAACCCCAAUUAAACACACCUGAACCAGAUAAUCAAUGAUUUUCUUUCAUCUUCAUAACACAAAUUAAGAUAUUAUGAUGAAAUCUGAGAGGUAUCUGACUCGUCCAUAGCAAUUUAACCAAAACUUUCAAGGUGUUGGUUAAAUUGCUACCUAUGGAUGAGAAUAUACCUCUCGGAUUUCAUCAAAAAUAUCUUAAUUUGUGUUAUGAAGAUGAACGAAGGUUUUACAGGUGUGGAACGACAUGAGGGUGAGUAAUUAAUGACAGUAUUUUUAUUUUUGGGUGAACUAACCCUUUAACACUGGGGGUUUUGCUGUGUACCAUGAAAAAGCACUGAGCUCUGCAUUUAUAGAUUAUAAAGGUAUAUGAAACAAACCCAUCAAGUAAUAUUUUUGUAUUUUGCAUUUGUAUGAUAUAAUUGUCACAGUUAAGCCGCCUUUCCACUGCACACGACAAACGACAGCCGUUGGACCGGAAGUCAUUCAUUUCCAAUGGAGAGUAGUACGGGGGCUGCGUGGAGUUCCGAUCAUAUGCGAAUGCGGAAAUUUCGGAUCCGAUUUGAGCUUCGGAUGCGUUGAAAUAUUUGAACUUCUGCGGCUAGACCGUAUGCGACCGGCCGACCGGAUAUGAUGUAUUCUAGUCAAAACGAUGAGCACGAAGUUAGAAUUACCAAUAUUUUAACACUUUAACGUUAUUAUAUAAACACUAUUUCUUUAAAAUGGUGGUUAUCAAUAAUUAUGUAAAACAAAAAAGAUAUUUUAUGAUUAUUAAAUACAUUUUUACGUUGAAGCUCUAUAAAAUCUACUACUAUGUUUUUAUUUCAGAUGUAUUGAGGGUCAUUUGCUUUGUAUGGAUAUAUUCAUAAAUGCAUUAACGUUACAUUCAUUAAAAUCGUUCAGUUUACCAUGGUGGUUGCUGGAUUAGAAUAAGCCGAGGGUAACGGUUGCUUCACUACCAAUUUCAAAGUUCCGUGCGACUGCCGCUAGGGGGCGAAAUGCGACAAUUGGAUGCGAAUGUCGUGUGCAGUGGAAAGGCGGCUUUAGGCUCUUUAGUUCAUUUUCAUGGACUUUUAGUUUGUGUCUCUUCAAUCACAUGUCUCUUUUAUUAAGUCCCCACCACAAUCUGUCAUUGUCAUAGACAAUGAUUCAAUUAUUGCACUAGUCCUAAAGAUUGCUAUCUGUGUAUUUUGUUCUUCAGAUGGAUAUGAGGAUGGGAACAUGGAAACAGGCCAUCCUCCGCCACACAAUCCCCACCAUGCAGCCUUGCCUAGAGACUAGCCAGGCAUGUGAUGCCAGAGCCCACCGCAGACAGGGAGCUUUCAUCUGCUGCGAUGAAUGAUCCAGAGCCUGGGAGGAGAACAGCGCUGGCCAUUGCCCCAGAGCCGAAAUCCCACAAUAAGUCUGAAGAGUAUGUGAUCUGAAACUAUCUGUUCCUGUGGGAGUUUUGUGCAUCUAGACAAUGAGGACUGGUUGUUCGAUUGGGAAACUAAGAUUCAGCCAGUCCUUCAGCCUCAUGUUCACUGAUUCCCUUCAACCCAUCAUCUCAACUAAUGCCGAGCCACCGGUCCAUGGGUUGCCAGCUUCGCCCAAGUAAGUCCUCCUCCGGCUGCUGGUCCCAUAACUCCAUCCGUCAACCUGUCACCUCCAACUUGGCUCCACCAGGCUCCCUUGUCCCUGCGGCUUCACCUUCGUCAACCAUCACCCUGCCUGCGCCACAGACUCAAGAGCCUUCCACAUUUUACCACCUUGGACAUUUUUCACUGCAGCUACACCAUGUAUCACUUGGUCCUAUUUGCUCUUUGUCUGUGCCUAGGGCUCUACUGUCAAUGGCUUCUCCGUCUGUCGUCCUCUGGUUGUCAUCAGCCAAGACUCCAUCAUGGCUCCUCCCUCUGUUGACUCCGUCAUGGGCUUGUAUCCUGGCUGUGCUCUGUUGUACCACCUGGCCACUCUUCCCAUUCUCUCCUCCCUGGUCUCAUCCACCAUCAUCACCACCACCACCCUUCACCAAUCUUUCAUCCACCUCCAGAACCUGCUCAGCCAUUUUACAUCACAACGCCUUCUCCUCGGAGAGCAUUCUGUCACAGUUUAGUGUCAUUUUCACAGAGUUUUUGUCUCUUCAGUCACACAUCUCUUUUUUUCUAAGUUCCCACCACAAUCUGAACACGAUUUGAUCAUCACACCUGUUAGUCCUGUUCAUGAACUCUGUGUAUUUAGUUCCUCAGUUUGAUCUGUUCAGGGUCCUGUAUGUGUGCACAACUUGUGGAGUUUACUCAUUGUUUGGAUUUCCUGAUUUGAGUUAUUUAAUCAGUCUUUUAUCAUUUGACCCUUUUGGCAUUUCAUCAUCAUCGGACUAAAAACAUGAAAGUAAUAUGGAGUUUUUUUUUUUUUU